Long non-coding RNA from Haemorhous mexicanus (house finch), 523 nucleotides. RefSeq lists it as uncharacterized. The transcript has 3 exons. The record is from RefSeq and is a predicted model, not a curated record. Lineage: Eukaryota; Metazoa; Chordata; Aves; Passeriformes; Fringillidae.
CUAAUGUGAGUCACCCACAGCCCGAGUGCUUUGGUGACAGACAUUCAGAGCUCAGCUCCAGCAGUCAUUGCACAAUGUAAAGAUCUCCCACCUAAACAUCCAGGCCAGGCAUUGGAAGAUGAGGAGAAUGGGAGCAGGAACAGAAGCAAGUGUGAGAUAACCUACUAAGAUAGUGUCUGUGCUGUGGAGAAGUUCAGGGACCUGUUUCCUUACAAACCAUUCAGUGUGUCUGGCACAGCAGAGCCGAUGGGAACCACUCCCUGCAUUGAUCUGGCAAUGCAGACCUGAAGAUUAUUUGCCUACGAGCAGGUAGAAGUGAGAAGGACAAUCCAUGGAACAUUCCCACGCCGAUGAGGCAUUUCCCAUCUCUGAAAGAAACACAGAGGGAUGCUGUCCUCACCCCAAAUGUACGUGCUUAGUGGAAGAGCAAGGACAUGAAACCCCUUUUAAAAUAUGUACUGUUCGUGCAUAAAUAUAUCUCUACAUAAUGCUGAACUUCUCAUUUCAAGUAAGCAGAGGAACA